GAUGAACGCUGGCGGCGUGCCUAAUACAUGCAAGUCGAGCGAACGGACGAGAAGCUUGCUUCUCUGAUGUUAGCGGCGGACGGGUGAGUAACACGUGGAUAACCUACCUAUAAGACUGGGAUAACUUCGGGAAACCGUAGCUAAUACCGGAUAAUAUUUUGAACCGCAUGGUUCAAAAGUGAAAGACGGUCUUGCUGUCACUUAUAGAUGGAUCCGCGCUGCAUUAGCUAGUUGGUAAGGUAACGGCUUACCAAGGCAACGAUGCAUAGCCGACCUGAGAGGGUGAUCGGCCACACUGGAUCUGAGACACGGUCCAGACUCCUACGGGAGGCAGCAGUAGGGAAUCUUCCGCAAUGGGCGAAAGCCUGACGGAGCAACGCCGCGUGAGUGAUGAAGGUCUUCGGAUCGUAAAACUCUGUUAUUAGGGAAGAACAUAUGUGUAAGUAACUGUGCACAUCUUGACGGUACCUAAUCAGAAAGCCACGGCUAACUACGU
This 496-nucleotide ribosomal RNA is filed under the name uncultured bacterium. Its description in RNAcentral is "partial 16S ribosomal RNA". It matches the Rfam family "Bacterial small subunit ribosomal RNA", at positions 28 to 506 of the family's 1533-position model. The record is from RNAcentral.